UACGAAGGGGGCUAGCGUUGUUCGGAAUUACUGGGCGUAAAGCGUGCGCAGGCGGCUUCUCAAGUCAGGGGUGAAAGCCCAGAGCUCAACUCUGGAAUUGCCUUUGAGACUGAGUGGCUUGAGUACGAGAGAGGUGUGUGGAAUUCCCAGUGUAGAGGUGAAAUUCGUAGAUAUUGGGAAGAACACCGGUGGCGAAGGCGGCUCACUGGCUCGUAACUGACGCUCAUGCACGACAGCGUGGGGAUCAAACAGG
This 253-nucleotide ribosomal RNA is filed under the name uncultured bacterium. Its description in RNAcentral is "partial 16S ribosomal RNA". It matches the Rfam family "Bacterial small subunit ribosomal RNA", at positions 524 to 776 of the family's 1533-position model. The record is from RNAcentral.